GACAUCACAAGACUCAAUAUGGGGGAUCACUUAGUCCUUAAAUCGAAGAAAAACAUAGUAAUUUGUGGAAAUUGAUGUGAGUUGUGAAGUUGUGUGAGCAUUGUGUUUUUGAAUGAAAAUUUUAGUAUGGAUGCACUUGUAUCUAUGCUACAUUUGUUUCAGUAUAUAUACAUAUAAUACGUAGUUACUAUUGCUUAGUAGUAAUAGUAAAAAUUAUCUUUGAUCACAAGGGUGAUAAUAAACAUCUCUAUGUUAUGUUUAUCUGAAAUCAAGUGUGACUACCCGCUGAACUUAAGCAUAUCAAUAAGCGGAGGAAAAGAAAUCAAAUGAGAUUUCCAUAGUAGCUGCGAGUGAACUGGAACUAAGCCUAUUGCCAAUUCUUAUGUUUUGUACAAUAAGAAAUGAGGUGUAAAAGUGUUUUGUGUUUAAUAGGAGUACAGCUUAAUUAUUAUUGAGUGGGUGCUCAGAGAAGGUGAAAAGCCUGUGUGGUUGUACUAUCCUGUUGAACCGAAGCUCUAGAGAGUCUAGUUGUUUGAGAGUACAACUUAAAGAUGGUGGUAAAUUUCAUCAAAGGCUAAAUAUAUGAAGGGACUAAUAGCGAACAAGUACCAUGAGGGAAAGUUGAAAAGAACUCUGACGAGAGAGUUCAACAGUACGUGAAACCAUAGUGAGUAAAACAGAUAACUGUGCUGUAAAGUGGUGUGCCUAUCAACAGGGUAGUUGGUUAUGUGAUGCCUUGAGCGUAAGUUGUCCAUUCAACCGAUUGCUCUUGGUUAGCCCUGCCAGAGACUCUGUGCACUAGUGCACACUCAUUCAUUGAGAAACUAUGCCGCUGCGGCAUCGAUAUGGGACAGCUCGUACGUAGUGCGAUGUUCUGUGUUGGGCGUCAUCUAGCCGGUGUAGUUUAGCUGUGGGACAGCUACGGCCUGCGUUUACUAAAUGUAACUGCUGUAUCUGCGAUUUGGUUUAUUCCUUGUUGCGGUGAGCAUGUUACUCUAGGUAAGCAGUCCGCCAUCAAUGGUUAGCAUUAGUUAUUUGACCCGUCUUGAAACACGGACCAAGGAGUUCAAAUGGCACGCGAGUCAUUGGGUCUUAACACCCGAAGGCGAAGUGAAAUGCAAAGGUAUUGUUAUUUGUGGUUGUACCAUGAUUAAGCGAUGAGCUACUUAUGCUUUCUGGCAUUUGUAGACUACAAGCGUGAUGUUUGAGACCCGAAAGAUGGUGACCUAUGCCUAGUCAAGAUGAAGCCAGAGGAAACUCUGGUGGAUGUCUGAAGUUAUUCUGACGUGCAAAUCGAUAAUCUGAUCUGGGUAUAGGGGCGAAAGACUAAUCGAACCAUCUAGUAGCUGGUUCCUUCCGAAGUUUCCCUCAGGAUAGCUAGCGUACACGUUUAGUUUCAUCCCGUAAAGCGAAUGAUUAGAGGUAUUGGGGCGUAUAUAGCCUCAACCUAUUCUCAAACUUUUAAUGGGUGUGAGUGUUAUUUCUCGAUUGAAGAACACUGCUAAAUAAGUAUGCUUAGUGGGCCAUUUUUGGUAAGCAGAACUGGCGCUGUGGGUUGAACCAAUUGUUGGGUUAAAGUGCCAAAAGCUGAAAUGCGCAUGAGAUCUAUAAAGGGUGUUAGUUGCUGAAGACAGCAGGACGGUGGCCAUGGAAGUCGGAAUCCGCUAAGGAGUGUGUAACAACUCACCUGCCAAAGCAACUAGCCCCAAAAAUGGAUGGCGCUAUAGCAUUGUACUUAUACUCAACCUCUGACGUGUGACGCACCGGAGCGCUCAGAGAGUAGGAAGAUAAUGUGAUAGCAUCGAAGGAUGUUGUUGUGAAGCAAUCUGGAGCUGUCACAUGUGCAGAUCUUGGUGGUAGUAGCAAGUACUCAAUUGAAAACCUUGAGCACUGAAGUUGGGGUGGGUUCCACGUGCCUUGGUCCUUGAAAAUUUGAGCGUGGUGAUUAUCUUGGUGGCAGUCCGUACUAAUAUCUGCAGCAGGUCUCCAAGAUGUGAAGCCUUUAGUGUCUAGAUUAAUGUAGGUAAGGGAAGUCGACAAAAUAGUUCUGUAACUUUGGGAGAAGGGAUGGCUCUGAAGGUUGAUCCAGCCAGGUUGACAGUAGAAGUAUUUAUGACAUUGUGUUGUCGCCGGAUGGACUUCAGAACUACUUCAGAACUGGCACGAACUGAGGGAAUCCGACUGUCUAAUUAAAACAAAGCAUUGUGAAGUCCAGUAAUUGGUUAUGACACAAUGUGAUUUCUGCCCAGUGCUCUGAAUGUCAAAGUGAAGAGAUUCUUUGAAGCGCGGGUAAACGGCGGGAGUAACUAUGACUCUCUUAUGGUAGCCAAAUGCCUCGUCAUCUAAUUAGUGACGCGCAUGAAUGGAUUAACGAGAUUCCCACUGUCCCUAUCUACUGUCUAGCGAAACCACAGCCAAGGGAACGGGCUUGGACUGAACGGCGGGGAAAGAAGACCCUGUUGAGCUUGACUCUAGUCUGACUUUGUGAAGAGACAUAGGAGGUGUAGCAUAAGUGGGAGAUUCGUCAUCAAUGAAAUACCACUACUCCUAUUGUUUCUUUACUUACUCAAUGAAGUAAAUAUGGUCAUUCCAUGUUUUAGAAAGAAGCAUAGUAAUUUGUGCGAUUUAUAUUGAGAACAUAGUCAGGUGGGGAGUACGAGAGGAACCGUAGGUUUAGACAAUUGGUUUUGUGUUUGAUUGAAAAAUCAGAGGCACUAAACUACCAUCUAAUGGAUUAUGACUGAACGCCUCUAUGUCAGAAUCCAAUCCAGAGUCCAUAACAUUAGUGUCUGGGAUGUGUAUUGUUUAUUAAAUAGUUGUGCGAGUGCAUAACUGAGCAAUAUGAGCAAAUUGAAAUGAAGACAAUCUGCAAAUGACUUUUAUCAAUCGAAGUGUUGUAAUUUGUAGAGCAGUUACGAUACUGCGAUCUAAUGAGACUUAUCUUCGUAUUGGGCGUUUGCUGUUUGAGAUGAAAUUGGCUUGUUGCCGGGAUGGAAUACCAUUAAUUUUCGUUAUUUUUUGGAUUAGCCACAUUUGGUAGCAUUAAACGCCCGCUUAUGUAUGACAAAAUAUGGUUAUGAAAUAUGUCAGUGGCCUAAUGACGCGGAGAAAGAUAAAAUGCUCGUUUUUGGUUUCAUG
RNAcentral lists this ribosomal RNA (3138 nucleotides) under Varroa destructor (honeybee mite). RNAcentral's name for it is "eukaryotic LSU rRNA". The stretch from base 259 to 2960 matches the Rfam family "Eukaryotic large subunit ribosomal RNA". Lineage: Eukaryota; Metazoa; Arthropoda; Arachnida; Mesostigmata; Varroidae. The record is from RNAcentral.